GCAUGUUUGCCAUCGAAGAUUCAAAAAUAGGGGACAAAUUGUUAAAGCAUAAGUUUGGACUCUUGAAAAACUUUGUCUCUUCUUUUAUCCACAGUAACGGCUUGAGAAUAAACUAACUUUUGAAGAUGCAUCUCUAAAGAUCAAUUCCCACCAAUUUUGAUCUUUGGUAGUCUAACCGAGGCCAUUAACAUAUUAAAUAGAGAGAAAAAACCUGUCACCGAAAUGUCAUACGUAAAUCGACAAAAACCACCGUUGCUCCACAAGGUUCUAGAAAUUAAACGGAGAGGCCGUCGC
This 294-nucleotide long non-coding RNA is filed under the name Brassica napus (rape). RNAcentral's name for it is "long non-coding RNA (BNAP_LNC026004)". Lineage: Eukaryota; Viridiplantae; Streptophyta; Magnoliopsida; Brassicales; Brassicaceae. The record is from RNAcentral.